Molecule: ribosomal RNA, 492 nt
Filed under: uncultured bacterium
Lineage: Bacteria
Description: partial 16S ribosomal RNA
Rfam family: Bacterial small subunit ribosomal RNA
Source: RNAcentral
AUUGAACGCUGGCGGCAGGCCUAACACAUGCAAGUCGAGCGGCAGCACAGAACUUGCUCCCGGAUUCAGCGGCGGACGGGCGGGUAAUGCCUAGGUACCUGCCUGGCUGCGUGUGCUAACGUCCUGACAUGGGCGCUCAUACGCUAUUAGCGCAGACGGCGAACGUGGGGGAGCAUCGGAUCUUCCGCUCUCACAUGAGCGUAUGACGCGAGGUCGGAUUAGCUAGUUGGUGGGGUAAAGGCCCACCAAGGCGACGAUCCGUAGCUGGUCUGAGAGGAUGAUCAGCCACACUGGAACUGAGACACGGUCCAGACUCCUACGGGAGGCAGCAGUGGGGAAUAUUGGACAAUGGGCGAAAGCCUGAUCCAGCCAUGCCGCGUGUGUGAAGAAGGCCUUCGGAUUGUAAAGCACUUUUGGUUGGAAAGAAAAGCAGUAAGUUAAUACCUCGCUGUUUUGACGUUACCAACAGAAUAAGCACCGGCUAACUUCGUG